AUCCAGCUAAAGAGUCCCGAAUAGGACGAAACGAGCAUCUUGGAU
This 45-nucleotide non-coding RNA is filed under the name Schistosoma margrebowiei. Lineage: Eukaryota; Metazoa; Platyhelminthes; Trematoda; Strigeidida; Schistosomatidae. The record is from RNAcentral.